UAUAUGUUACCCUAAAUACAUAAUAAACUUUUUUAUAUACCAUUCACUUUUAAUCUUACCCAUUCCCCUAUAUUCCUCCCUUUUCAGUACUCUUCCAUCCAUGCAACUACAAUCUUCGACCACUCACCAAAAAUAAAACAUUGUGGAAUAAAAGUAGCUAAUUGAUGAGUGAUAUUCUUAUCACUCAAAUACCUUAUUUUUCUCCUGUUUACAAUAAUUUUUCCUCUUCCUUCAUCAUUUUCUAACUUAUUUUGCUUAAUUUAAUUUAAUUGAGUUACUUAUAACUUAUUUGUGAAUAUUAGUUAUUUUGAUUGUUUAUAUAGGGUUUAGUAAUGCUUAUUUGUGUUUUACAUUGUAGGAUCAACCAUAGAGGUCUCCAUAUACCACACACCAAGCAUGGAGUGGAGCAAUUUGGGAUAAAUAAGAGCUUUUAGAAGGAUUUGUGUACAAGGGUCAAAUUCAAAUGGUCAUAACUUUUAGUGCAGUAAAUAUUCUUUAGUGAUUCAAGUUAAAUAUUACACUUUGACUCGAUAUCUUUUCAACGAGUGGUCACAACCCCGAUCCUAAUGAAAAAUGAAAGAAACAUAGAUGUUUGAAGUCAGGCACGUAUGCCAGAACGAGCGCACGCUACAUAUUGUUUGGAUCACACGCUCCAAAAGCCCAUAUACCUUCUUCCUGCUCGAAACUGUAUGGAGUGCCUGCUCCACUUUUCCCAUUCGAAAAUCAGGUGGUGGUGGAUAAGAUAGAGUAGUGAAGCUCAGUACAAGAAUGAAUAGCAAUUGCGACCAACCUUAACGACCGUGCGGAAAUCCGGUCGUAAAAAAGUAGCAAUUACAACGAGUUUUGAAAGCUGUCGUAGAUAUUAAGGUUUUUUUGCGACGAGUCUUAAAUCUGGUGGUAAACGGUUAAACCUGAUCGUAAAAAGUUCGAUUUUGUGCGAAAAAACUAGAGCGGGAGCUUUCCCGAUUUCUUAAUACUUUUAACGUCCAUAUAGUUAGUAAGUACAACCGAACCAACUGUUGUAAAAGACUAUUAAGUUACAAAAAUAUUAUUAGUUUGGGGAUGUUGUAAAAGACUAUUAAAGUUACAAAAAUAUUAUUAGUUUGUGAAUCCCCAAAAUAUUGAAAAAACCCUAGACUCUUCCAUUUCGGUUUCUUCGAGCUUCUUCACUCACGAAGUCCUCUGUUCAUCCGAAUUCCUCCAAUUGGUGAAUCGUUUGUUCAGAUUAUCUGGGGCUUAGCAGCGAGGCGACUCGUGAUUGGGCAAAACUAAUAAUAGCAAUGACAUGUGGAGGAGAUCCUUACGUGAAGCUUGAGUUUGAAUGAUAUGGACUAACAUUGCGGGUUAUGACAUUUUCUACAAUGUGGAAGAACUACAAUAGUUAUGGUUUUUUAGCUUGUGAAACUUUUGACAUAUUCUCUAGACUUGUUUAUCGUAUUGAACCGUUGGCUAAGAUUGUAGAUACUUUUUUAUUGAGUACUUGUGUUUGGACAUCUAUGUACUUAUGAAUUAUGUUUUA
Beta vulgaris subsp. vulgaris (sugar beet) is the source of this 1519-nucleotide long non-coding RNA. RefSeq lists it as uncharacterized. The record is from RefSeq and is a predicted model, not a curated record. Lineage: Eukaryota; Viridiplantae; Streptophyta; Magnoliopsida; Caryophyllales; Amaranthaceae. The transcript is spliced from 2 exons.